GUGCCAGCCGCCGCGGUAAUACGGAGGGUGCAAGCGUUGUCCGGAAUCACUGGGCGUAAAGGGUGCGCAGGCGGGGCAGCAAGUCGGAGGUGAAAGCCCGUGGCUCAACCACGGAAGUGCCUUCGAAACUGUUGCUCUUGAGUACAGAAGAGGUCGGUGGAAUUCGUAGUGUAGCGGUGAAAUGCAUAGAUAUUACGAAGAACACCAGAGGCGAAGGCGGCCGGCUGGACUGUAACUGACGCUGAGGCACGAAAGCGUGGGGAGCGAACAGGAUUAGAUACCCUGUAGUCC
Molecule: ribosomal RNA, 291 nt
Filed under: uncultured bacterium
Lineage: Bacteria
Description: partial 16S ribosomal RNA
Rfam family: Bacterial small subunit ribosomal RNA
Source: RNAcentral